Molecule: ribosomal RNA, 437 nt
Filed under: uncultured Oscillospiraceae bacterium
Lineage: Bacteria; Bacillati; Bacillota; Clostridia; Eubacteriales; Oscillospiraceae
Description: partial 16S ribosomal RNA
Rfam family: Bacterial small subunit ribosomal RNA
Source: RNAcentral
ACGGGAGGCAGCAGUGGGGGAUAUUGCACAAUGGGCGAAAGCCUGAUGCAGCAACGCCGCGUGAGGGAAGACGGUUUUCGGAUUGUAAACCUCUGUCUUUGGUGACGAAGAAAGUGACGGUAGCCAAGGAGGAAGCCACGGCUAACUACGUGCCAGCAGCCGCGGUAAUACGUAGGUGGCAAGCGUUGUCCGGAUUUACUGGGUGUAAAGGGUGCGCAGGCGGGAUAGCAAGUCAGCUGUGAAAACUACGGGCUUAACCUGUAGACUGCAGUUGAAACUGUUGUUCUUGAGUGAAGCAGAGGUAGGCGGAAUUCCGAGUGUAGCGGUGAAAUGCGUAGAUAUUCGGAGGAACACCAGUGGCGAAGGCGGCCUACUGGGCUUUAACUGACGCUGAGGCACGAAAGCAUGGGGAGCAAACAGGAUUAGAUACCCUGGUA